This 460-nucleotide ribosomal RNA is filed under the name uncultured bacterium. RNAcentral describes it as "partial 16S ribosomal RNA". It matches the Rfam family "Bacterial small subunit ribosomal RNA", at positions 338 to 795 of the family's 1533-position model. The record is from RNAcentral.
CCUACGGGAGGCAGCAGUGAGGAAUAUUGGUCAAUGGACGGAAGUCUGAACCAGCCAUGCCGCGUGCAGGAAGACGGCUCUAUGAGUUGUAAACUGCUUUUGUACAAGGGUAAACCUGAAUACGUGUAUUCAGCUGAAAGUACUGUACGAAUAAGGAUCGGCUAACUCCGUGCCAGCAGCCGCGGUAAUACGGAGGAUCCAAGCGUUAUCCGGAUUUAUUGGGUUUAAAGGGUGCGUAGGCGGAUUGAUAAGUUAGAGGUGAAAUGUCCGAGCUUAACUCGGGAACUGCCUCUAAUACUGUUGAUCGAGAGAGUAGAUGCGGGAGGCGAAAUGUAUGGUGUAGGGGUGAAAUCCUUAGAGACCAUACAGAACACCGAUUGCGAAGGCAGCUAACCAAUCUAUAUCUGACGUGGAGGCACGAAAGCGUGGGGAGCAAACAGGAUAAGAUACCCGAGUAGUC